CAAUAGCGUAUAUUAAAGUUGUUGCAGUUAAAAAGCUCGUAGUUGGAUUUGUGGUGUAUGGUGUGUUCCGGGCACUUGUUGUCUGAGUAACUUGCCAUUGCCAUCCUUGGGUGGAACCUGUGUGGCAUUAGGUUGUCGUGCAGGGGAUGCCCAUCGCUUACUGUGAAAAAAUUAGAGUGUUCAAAGCAGGCUUAUGCCGUUGAAUAUAUUAGCAUGGAAUAAUAAGAUAGGACUUUUUUGCUAUUUUGUUGGUUUGCGCGAGAAGGUAAUGAUUAAUAGGGAUAGUUGGGGGUAUUCGUAUUCCAUUGUCAGAGGUGAAAUUCUUGGAUUUUUGGAAGACGAACUACUGCGAAAGCAUUUACCAAGGAUGUUUUCAUUAA
RNAcentral lists this ribosomal RNA (380 nucleotides) under uncultured eukaryote. RNAcentral describes it as "partial 18S ribosomal RNA". It matches the Rfam family "Eukaryotic small subunit ribosomal RNA", at positions 592 to 976 of the family's 1831-position model. The record is from RNAcentral.